GUUGUCCUGCCAGAAUUCCAGGAAACUAGGCAGAAUGGAAAGUUCCAGGGCCUCCAUGUGCCCCUCCCACAAGUACCCUGUGGACUAACACUGUAUGCCUCUGCUCCGGCAUACACGAAGGUGUAAUUAAGUCUCUGGUGAUUACUAUUGAGAAUGAAUAGCACCGGAAGUGCAAAAUAAAGCCGUAUUCCUUGGUCUGAGGGAGAAGCAAGGAUCAGUGUCAGCAUUUUUUCCUCCCACAAUGGUGAAACAGAUUCCUCACUGUCUACCUGACUGUGCAGUAGACCCUGGCUCAUCAGGAGUAAGAAACCAUGACAGAAGAAAGAUCAGCACAUCCCUGAGCCUUUAUCAAAGAGACCGAGAGAUGGAGUAAAGUACUUCAACUAACCACGUCUUUCAGUCUGUCCUCGAGAGUGCAAAGAAGGGCUGUAGGAAGAGGAAACAUCAGAGGCUGCAAAGAAGAGGAAGAGGCUGAAAUAGAGAGACUGGCACAGGGCAAGUGCUGUCUGGGACUGAGGGAAAAUGACAACAAACAAUUCGACCUUGCACUUACUUCAAGAUCCUCUACCCAGCACUGCCUUAAGAGCUCCAUUUCGGCACUCAGAUUAAAGUGCUGCAGCUCAAAACACAGCCUUGCCAACUUGGCUCCAGGGAAGGAGCAGCCAUUGGAACAAUGCAGGCAAUUUAAUCGUGUUGCAGAGAGGAGUAAGCCCAAGUCUGGAGGCUUUACUGGAACGGAAUGCAAUUCCCUCGUCCCAGUAGGAAGAAUGAAAGUGGGGCUGAGGUGGACAAAAGACAACAUCCAAAAUGACAUAAAAAUUAACCACCCAACUCAAUGAAUUACCCACGAGAUAAUGGGAUAAAUGUUUGUGAGUCAGACCAAAGAGCAAAAACAGAACAGAAAGAAAGAAUUCUCAACUGUAGGCUGAAACCUUUCUACUUCGUUCUGUGAGGCAAAAUCUCAGUCUCUCUCUUUCCACUUAAGUUCAGGUUUUAAAACUCGGUUGUUCUCUAUGGAAUUGAAGCCUGUGUAGACCAUUGUGUGUAGCUGUAUUUCAAAUACUGUUCUCUCUGUUAUCACUCAAACUCCUAGUUAUUCAGUUUGACCUGAAGUUAAAGAACAGAAUUGUUUCAUGCUUUAAAAUUACUUCCCACUAUUUUAUAGAGAUAAAAACAAGUUAUGAAAAAAAAACCCUUAGGUAUAAGCCAAGUUAGAGUUCAUAAUUAAGAUUACCAGAAUAAAAACCAUAGUCAUAUGUCUGUUCCCCUAUUUCUCAUCCUAAAUAUGUUUUUUUUGGUGGGGGGCAGUUUAGUUAAACAUAAAAUGUUUAUUGUCCAUUGCUGUAGUAAAAAUUACUUGGGGGUUAACCCCAUUCUUGAUCAUAUUGUUCCUAAGUAAAUGACACAACCCUUUAUAUUUAUAAUAAUCUUUAAAGCACUAGAGCUGGGAAGAUGUCAACUCUCCAUGGUAUUUUGUCUAAUUCACUAAAUCUGAGAUAUCACUUGCUAUGUUCCCCUUGGUCCUCUCCAACUCGGACUGGCCAGCCCUCGUGGCCGUGUUCUCACUAGCCACCUAUCCAAUGUCAUCUUCUCCCCUCUCCUCUCUCUUCUUCUCCUCAUGGUCUCUGCCUCAGACUCCAAUUCUGGGAACCAAAGCUCUGCCUACCUCUCUUCUGCCCAGCCAUAGGUUGUAGGCUUCUUUUUUUAGCCAAUGGUUUUAAAUUAAGGAGCAAGGUUGCAUAGCAUCACUUGGUAUAUAUGCAGAUGUGCUUGUCAAGGACAGCAACAUCUUGAGAAGCCAGUAUUUAGCAUUAGAAUAUAAGCAUCAUCAGACUCACCCUCUACAGUCCAUUGUACCUAUGAUAAUACAAUAAACAAUGAUUAAGCAGCCU
This is a long non-coding RNA of Mus musculus (house mouse), 1892 nucleotides long. RefSeq annotates it as RIKEN cDNA D030045P18 gene. The transcript has 3 exons. The record is from RefSeq and is marked predicted. Lineage: Eukaryota; Metazoa; Chordata; Mammalia; Rodentia; Muridae.